Molecule: long non-coding RNA, 1372 nt
Organism: Salvelinus namaycush (lake trout)
Lineage: Eukaryota; Metazoa; Chordata; Actinopteri; Salmoniformes; Salmonidae
Exons: 7
Source: RefSeq, a predicted model, not a curated record
CCAAGUGCGAGGAGAGGAAGUGCACUGGAAACCUUAGUGAGGUUGCCAUGGUUGGAGGGCGGAACCUCAACAUCUGGGUCAGCAUCUUCACUACCACAGCUACAUGGGUGGGAGGAGGUUUCAUCCUAGGCAAUGCUGAGGUGGUCUACGACCCUAAAAGGGGCCUGGCUUGGGCCAUUGGACCAAUAGGCUUCUCCCUUAGCCUGGUUGCAGGAAACCUGUCCGAGAGAAGAAUUACGUCACCAUAAUGGAUCCGUUUCAGGAGAAGUAUGGGAACACGUUAACUGCAAUUCUCUUUGUCCCAUCACUCCUUGCUGACAUCUUCUGGAUAGCCUGUGUGCUCGCUGCAUUAGUGGCUCUGUGUGCCCUUCAUACUGAUAAGCCCCGCCUCAGCAGACAUUACAGUCACAGUGGGGACAAAACUGUACCAGGAGCCAUGGACCGGCAGGCUGAAGUUGGCAGAUGCAGUGCGCUGGCUGGAUGACCUGCUACUGGUGGUGGAAUCUGUUACCAGGCCUUCUACCGGAGAGUCCUGGCCACAGCCACUGUGGCUCAGUUCAUCUGCUAUGCUGCUUCUGUCUUCUGCUUCAUCCCACCAUACUACCUCUUCUCAUUGGUGCUGUGGCAGCAUCCACAGAUUAGAACCAGACCAGUUGUGGUCUACCUACUCCCUACGAGCAGGGCAAGGCGAAUAUGAUUCUGCCCAUCUCCCUGCACCACCUGUGCCAACCUCUUGUCGGAAUCUGCGCCAUUGCUGCUGCCGUGAUGUCAUCGAUUGACUCUGCCCUGCUGUCUUCUGCGUCCCUUUUUUCCCGAAACAUCUACAAAAACAUUUUCAGCAAAAGGUGGAGAUGUGAUGUACACGGUGGUGUGUGCCCAGUUGAUCUGCGUCCUCUUUCUGCCUGGGUAUGGUGCCUUGGCAGGCCUUGUGGUAGGGCUACUGCUGCAGCUCCUAGUGGGAGAGCCACUGCUCAGUAUGACAGGACUCAUGGCCCUUCCCUGGGACAGCCUACACGAGGACAGGCGUCUGCUGCAUGUCUUCCCGUUCCGCACCAGCAUCAUGUUGGUCUCUCUGGCCACCAUCCUGGUUGUGUCACGUUUUGCAGCCUGCCUUUUCCUUAAAGGACUACUGCCUGAUAACUGGGAUGUAUAUGGACUUGGUCAAAAAAGGAUGAUUUUGAUAAAGGAUAUAGUAGCUAAGGAUCUGACUGAGAAGAUUGGACUGAACACAAGGCAGAAUGACCCAUCUCCUCAUGCGAGCACAGAAGAUAUGAGCUCUUUACAAUGACCUGGGGUCCCAUCAUGUAGAUAGUUACAGACAACGGCCAAAGGCCAGGAACAGGCAGGACUCAAACACCACAGCACAGUUAAG